RNAcentral lists this ribosomal RNA (253 nucleotides) under uncultured bacterium. Its description in RNAcentral is "partial 16S ribosomal RNA". It matches the Rfam family "Bacterial small subunit ribosomal RNA", at positions 524 to 776 of the family's 1533-position model. The record is from RNAcentral.
UACGUAGGGGGCAAGCGUUGUCCGGAUUUAUUGGGCGUAAAGAGCGUGUAGGCGGCCAGACAGGUCCGUUGUGAAAACUGGAGGCUUAACCUUCAGACGUCGAUGGAAACCGUCUGGCUAGAGUCCGGAAGAGGUGAGUGGAAUUCCGAGUGUAGAGGUGAAAUUCGUAGAUAUUCGGAGGAACACCAGUGGCGAAGGCGGCUCACUGGUCCAUUACUGACGCUGAGGUGCGAAAGCGUGGGGAGCAAACAGG